This 76-nucleotide transfer RNA is filed under the name Alistipes onderdonkii. Its description in RNAcentral is "tRNA-Gly". It matches the Rfam family "tRNA". From Rfam's summary of the family: Transfer RNA (tRNA) molecules are approximately 80 nucleotides in length. The record is from RNAcentral. Lineage: Bacteria; Pseudomonadati; Bacteroidota; Bacteroidia; Bacteroidales; Rikenellaceae. RNAcentral also lists the same sequence under 4 other names.
GCGGAAAUAGCUCAGUUGGUAGAGCACAACCUUGCCAAGGUUGGGGUCGCGAGUUCGAGUCUCGUUUUCCGCUCUA